This 481-nucleotide ribosomal RNA is filed under the name uncultured bacterium. RNAcentral's name for it is "bacterial SSU rRNA". It matches the Rfam family "Bacterial small subunit ribosomal RNA", at positions 28 to 518 of the family's 1533-position model. The record is from RNAcentral.
GACGAACGCUGGCGGCGCGCCUAACACAUGCAAGUCGAACGAGCAAAGAGGAGCUUGCUUCUCUGAGCGAGUGGCGAACGGGUGAGUAACGCGUGAGGAACCUGCCUCAAAGAGGGGGACAACAGUUGGAAACGACUGCUAAUACCGCAUAAGCCCACGGGUCGGCAUCGACCAGAGGGAAAAGGAGCAAUCCGCUUUGAGAUGGCCUCGCGUCCGAUUAGCUAGUUGGUGAGGUAAUGGCCCACCAAGGCGACGAUCGGUAGCCGGACUGAGAGGUUGAACGGCCACAUUGGGACUGAGACACGGCCCAGACUCCUACGGGAGGCAGCAGUGGGGAAUAUUGACACAAUGGGGGAAACCCUGAUGCAGCGACGCCGCGUGGAGGAAGAAGGUCUUCGGAUUGUAAACUCCUGUUGUUNAGGAAGAUAAUCGACGGUACUCAACAAGGAAGUGACGGCUAAACUACGUGACCAGCAGCCGC